AAGCCCCUCUACAAAGCACUCAUGGUCUAUCUCUGUAGAUCCCAUUUAACUAAUGGUAACUAGAAGCUUCAGGCACAUCAUGAAAGGACUCGUUGGAGAAGAUGGAAUAACUCCAUAAGAAAGAAACUCCACCCUGGAAUUUGGAAGAACUGAGCAGGGCUGCCAUGGACCGGAUAUUUUGGAGUGCUGUCGUUCAUAGGGUUGCCUUAAGUUGGAAGCGACCUGACGGAACAUACCGACAGCAACUAGAAGCUGCGAAAUAAAUGCCUCCUUGAACAAGUCACCAUAGUCAUAUUCUAGAGAGAAGCACAAGUAGUGUGGUAAGAGCCAGUGCGGUAUAGUGGUAAAGAGUGCAGGACUGGGACUCAGGCGACCUGGGUUCUAGUUCCCGCCCAGCCAUGGAAUGAACUGGGUGACUUUGUGCCAGUCACAGAACCUCCCCAACAGGAGGAGGAGAAUGAUGUAAGCCACUCUGAGUUCUUUGAUAGAAAAAGGGUGGGAUAUAAAGCUAACAAAUAUAUAAAUAAAUGGGAAUCAAAGAUUAUAUUGACAAGACUUGUGCAGAGAUAACUAACACCUGUUUUUUUUACAAGGGUUAUAUUAUCUGCAUAGUAUAUAUAAGUUAUUCCUACAACUUCUUGUUUGGUUGCACAACAUCGUUUUAUGCAGCUGCUGAUAACAUGUUUUCCCAGUCAUUCAUGUUUCUACCUAAAUCCUUGUUUUUCCCAUGUCAGCAUCUGCAAAAUUACACAGGUAAGAGCAACCUGGGAACAACUACUCCCACGGACCAGUGGAUAGCAGUCAACCUCAAAAAGCAAACAAUAGUUAUUUGCUCAAUAAGACAAAUCACCAGUGCAGAAGGUAGCCCUUCGCACCCCCAUUUUCCAGGCUUCUGAUAUAAGAUGACACAAACAGAAAGCUUAAGAAAAAUUUCUGCGUAUCAGCACAUGAAGUGCACACCUUGUUCUUUUCCAAAAAUACCUGCAGUCUCGACCAGCCCCACUUCCUGUUAACAAUUACUUUGUUGUUGUUCUUGUAGGAGUCGGUAUUUUCAUUUGCUACACUAUAGUUUCAUAAGCACCUUUGAUUCUAAUCAGAUGCAGUUGUGAAAGUGCAACAGAGAGUUUUCCACACCACCACACACAAAAACACUCCUUGUAAAGAUCAUUCAUGGUCUUCUGAAGCGU
Long non-coding RNA from Varanus komodoensis (Komodo dragon), 1187 nucleotides. RefSeq lists it as uncharacterized. Lineage: Eukaryota; Metazoa; Chordata; Lepidosauria; Squamata; Varanidae. The record is from RefSeq and is a predicted model, not a curated record. The transcript has 3 exons.